UUCAAACUUUGUCCACCAACAGGAUGGUGUUAAUUAUAUCCCAGCUACAAUUAUCACAGAAACAAGCAACUUAAUAUAAAAUGUUUUGCAAUAACAAGUUUAUAUUCUGAAAUAGAUGUAUCACAUGAAUGAAUCAUUAAGAGGUUAGAAAUCCACCAAUAACUCUGUACAAAUAGAGGAAGAAACAGACUCAGAGGAAGAGGGCGGGCUUUACUUGGUGUCAGUGAGAGAAAUGAAAAAAAGCUGAAAUGAGUGAGAAGGACGAUGAAGGAAACAUCUGUGCUGUGUCUGCUCUUCUAUUCACUGACAUCUUAAUCCUGUGUUCUCCUGAGCUUGAACCUGAACGUCAGACCAACCAUCGACUGCAGGAGACAUGAGCCUCAGACCAUCUCACCGUCACUAUCUUCAUCAUCAUCAUCAUCAUCAUCAUCAUCAUCAGGUCUAGGUACCCUUGCCCCUGGAGGGGGAAACUGCACCCAGACCCAGGUAGUGUUACCCUUUUCUCUGGGGUGGGGAGAAGCAGACCGCCCCGACUCCACAGCAGCAGGGAGGCCCCACAUUCCAGACCCCAAUCGGAUGGCCAACUCCUCCUCCUAGCCCCCCCGCCCCAACAGGCAACAGAGAACGGGGGUGUGUGAAGACUCCAAACCUCCCUCCGC
Oreochromis aureus is the source of this 659-nucleotide long non-coding RNA. NCBI's taxonomy places the organism in Eukaryota, Metazoa, Chordata, Actinopteri, Cichliformes, Cichlidae. The record is from Ensembl.